UACGUAGGGGGCAAGCGUUGUCCGGAUUUAUUGGGCGUAAAGAGCGUGUAGGCGGCCAGGUAGGUCAGCUGUGAAAACUCGAGGCUUAACCUCGAGACGCCGGCUGAAACCCUCUGGCUAGAGUCCGGAAGAGGAGAGCGGAAUUCCUGGUGUAGCGGUGAAAUGCGCAGAUAUCAGGAGGAACACCGGUGGCGAAGGCGGAUCUCUGGGCCGUAACUGACGCUGAGGAGCGAAAGCAUGGGGAGCGAACAGG
This 253-nucleotide ribosomal RNA is filed under the name uncultured bacterium. RNAcentral describes it as "partial 16S ribosomal RNA". It matches the Rfam family "Bacterial small subunit ribosomal RNA", at positions 524 to 776 of the family's 1533-position model. The record is from RNAcentral.